CCCUUAGAUGUUCUGGGCCGCACGCGCGCUACACUGAUACGACCAGCAAGUUUCUUUUGUUCCUUGGCCGAAAGGUUUGGGUAACCUUGUGAAAUCGUAUCGUGUUGGGGCUUGACGAUUGUAAUUUUUUGUCACAAACGAGGAAUUCCUAGUAAGCGCAAGUCAUCAACUUGCAUUGAUUACGUCCCUGCCCUUUGUACACACCGCCCGUCGCUCCUACCGAUUGAAUGUUCCGGUGAACACUCCGGAGCCGUGGUCUUCGUUCGGGGCAACUCGUUCAUGACCAAUGGUGAAGUUGUGUAAACCUUAUCAUUUAGAGGAAGGAGAAGUCGUAACA
Molecule: ribosomal RNA, 337 nt
Filed under: uncultured eukaryote
Lineage: Eukaryota
Description: partial 18S ribosomal RNA
Rfam family: Eukaryotic small subunit ribosomal RNA
Source: RNAcentral